CCUACGGGAGGCAGCAGUAGGGAAUAUUGCGCAAUGGGGGAAACCCUGAAGCAGCAACGCCGCGUGGAGGAUGAAGGUUUUCGGAUUGUAAACUCCUUUUGUUAGAGAAGAGAAUGACGGUAUCUAACGAAUAAGCACCGGCUAACUCCGUGCCAGCAGCCGCGGUAAUACGGAGGGUGCAAGCGUUACUCGGAAUCACUGGGCGUAAAGAGCGCGUAGGCGGGAUAGCAAGUCAGAUGUGAAAUCCUAUGGCUUAACCAUAGAACUGCAUUUGAAACUGUUAUUCUAGAGUAUGGGAGAGGUAGGUGGAAUUCUUGGUGUAGCGGUGAAAUCCGUAGAGAUCAAGAGGAAUACUCAUUGCGAAGGCGACCUACUAGAACAUAACUGACGCUGAUGCGCGAAAGCGUGGGGAGCAAACAGGAUUAGAUACCCGAGUAGUC
RNAcentral lists this ribosomal RNA (440 nucleotides) under uncultured bacterium. RNAcentral describes it as "partial 16S ribosomal RNA". It matches the Rfam family "Bacterial small subunit ribosomal RNA", at positions 338 to 795 of the family's 1533-position model. The record is from RNAcentral.